This 1342-nucleotide long non-coding RNA is filed under the name Rhinolophus ferrumequinum (greater horseshoe bat). Its description in RNAcentral is "lncRNA (ENSRFEG00010017561.1)". The record is from RNAcentral. Lineage: Eukaryota; Metazoa; Chordata; Mammalia; Chiroptera; Rhinolophidae.
CAAACUGCCCGACAGGGAGCGCAGGUCUGGCCGGGGGGCUGCCGGCCCCGCGAGCGGGGAGAUCCAGCUGUUCCGGAGCCGACCCCGGACGCGGCCUCCGCGCCUCCCUGACCCCGCGCGGGGUCCCGCUCCACCAGAGGACCCCGCGUAGCCACGAUCUCCUCCAGGAAACCAGGGCGCGCGGACAGCUGGGCUUGGACCUUGCCCCGCCUGGCACGGCGGCCACUGCGGAAGGCCAGGCCCCUACGGGGAACUGUAACCCCCGCGAGGUGUUCCUUCCUCGCGCGGCCCACCUCUCGGACUACCGCAGCCCACUUCCCAGGCCGCCCCUGCCGCUCCACACCUGUGCAGAGAAGAGAUGCUGGUCCUCCCGCAGAGCUGACCCGGUCUUGGGGCGUGAAGCUCGGGGCCCACCUGAGCGGACCAGGAAACCAGGCGGCCGAGCUCUGCUGGGGGCCGAGGGAGCGGCCUGAAGCCAGGAGGGGAACUGAAGAACCAACUGCGAACUGAGGGCCAGAGCUGGUGUCCUCUCCAGAGGGGGUGCCUCCCUAACCGGCUGCCCCAUUGUUGCAGAACCACAGGUUUUAAGGGCUCGUGUGCAGGUGAAAUGACCAUUAGAGUCAUGAAAUACUCAUGGCCUAAACAUAGUCAGUCCCCUGGCCAGGCACAACCUGAGAAACUGCAUGCCACACGCACACCCCCAAAGCUUCCAGAAGGGGGCACCGGGACACCACCGCCAGCCCUCGCUUUAUUGCUGCCUCCUCGGCCUACCUGGGAGCUGCCCAGGGCACAGCUGCCGUUCUUAGGGACCAAGGGCACCCCCAGGCCACAUGCAAGCGCUGAGCACAUCUGGGCUGGGCAGAAAAAGAGCUGGAGGCACCCCUUCUGCAGGAGCCCAGUUGGACACCCCAGCCUUGCUCUUCCAAAUGGGCUCAUCCUGGUCUGGCAAGGGGAGCAAGCUGGGUUGGACAUCCCCUCCUCAAGGAGACAGCUCUUCUAUCUAACCAUGAAGAGAACCUCGCUGUUCUGGGUCCUUCCUCACCAGCUCCCUCCGGGGUUCAGCCUGAAUCCUCCUGCCCACUCCCAGGGCCCAGCCUCCCCCACUUUUCAGACAUGGAUUCAUGAGAUGUGUGACUGAGCCUCUGAGCUUCCAAUUCCUCCCAAAUGAAGUGGAGACCCAAGUUCCCACCUCCUGGAGUCGUGGAGAGGGUGAGCGCAGAGGCAGGAGGGCGCUCCGCAGGGCCGGCCUCGCGAUGCGUGCUCGCGGCCAGGCCCCGGGCUAGCGAAGGCUCUCCUGGUUGCAGGCCCCGCACGAACAAAGGCUGCGGGGGGAGCGGCGGAG